This 434-nucleotide unclassified non-coding RNA is filed under the name Mycetia sp. Nguyen Nghia Thin & al. 3285. Its description in RNAcentral is "Myrioneuron sp. Nguyen Nghia Thin & al. 3285 partial external transcribed spacer". The record is from RNAcentral. Lineage: Eukaryota; Viridiplantae; Streptophyta; Magnoliopsida; Gentianales; Rubiaceae.
UUGCAGGAUCAAAACAGGUAGCAUUCCUCACAGACAUCGGGCCGCACAAAGCUUGCGCCAGUGCGACGCCGACAGUCGUUCGAAUGUAUUUUUCGACGAUUGUCGCAGGCAAAUAGGGGUCGAAGACCCCGUGCCCCCAGCGUAUUCCGCAUCCCAGAGCCCGAACGAGUAGUCGUGCCCCGCGACAACGAAGCCAAUGGCUUGAAGACGAGGAUCACGAAUAUCGUUUCGAGGUUCACCCGAAGCCGCACCGUGGAAACGGACAGCCCUGGGUGGACGAGGGAACAUUGGCAACCGAAUUCCAUGACGUGGGUACGCAACACAGGAAACCGACCGAACGGCCAAGGCUAGAGUCGCUCUUGGGCCAACCAUGAAGAGGACCGCACGGUUGGACGUCGCUGCACGGAGCAGGGAUCCAACAAACCCAUACAAGA